This 531-nucleotide ribosomal RNA is filed under the name uncultured bacterium. Its description in RNAcentral is "bacterial SSU rRNA". It matches the Rfam family "Bacterial small subunit ribosomal RNA", at positions 355 to 896 of the family's 1533-position model. The record is from RNAcentral.
UGGGGAAUAUUGCGCAAUGGGCGAAAGCCUGACGCAGCGACGCCGCGUGGGGGAUGACGGCCUUCGGGUUGUAAACCUCUUUCAGCAGGGACGAAGCGCAAGUGACGGUACCUGCAGAAGAAGCACCGGCCAACUACGUGCCAGCAGCCGCGGUAAUACGUAGGGUGCAAGCGUUGUCCGGAAUUAUUGGGCGUAAAGAGCUCGUAGGCGGUUCGUCGCGUCGGCUGUGAAAUCCCGAGGCUCAACCUCGGGUCUGCAGUCGAUACGGGCGGACUGGAGUUCGGCAGGGGAGACUGGAAUUCCUGGUGUAGCGGUGAAAUGCGCAGAUAUCAGGAGGAACACCGGUGGCGAAGGCGGGUCUCUGGGCCGAUACUGACGCUGAGGAGCGAAAGCGUGGGGAGCGAACAGGAUUAGAUACCCUGGUAGUCCACGCCGUAAACGUUGGGCGCUAGGUGUGGGGGCCAUUCCACGGUCUCCGUGCCGCAGCUAACGCAUUAAGCGCCCCGCCUGGGGAGUACGGCCGCAAGGCUA